This 1393-nucleotide ribosomal RNA is filed under the name uncultured Clostridium sp. RNAcentral describes it as "bacterial SSU rRNA". It matches the Rfam family "Bacterial small subunit ribosomal RNA". The record is from RNAcentral. Lineage: Bacteria; Bacillati; Bacillota; Clostridia; Eubacteriales; Clostridiaceae.
GGCGGCGUGCCUAACACAUGCAAGUCGAGCGAUUCUCUUCGGAGAAGAGCGGCGGACGGGUGAGUAACGCGUGGGUAACCUGCCCUGUACACACGGAUAACAUACCGAAAGGUAUGCUAAUACGAGAUAAUAUGCUUUUGUCGCAUGGUAGAAGUAUCAAAGCUCCGGCGGUACAGGAUGGACCCGCGUCUGAUUAGCUAGUUGGUAAGGUAACGGCUUACCAAGGCGACGAUCAGUAGCCGACCUGAGAGGGUGAUCGGCCACAUUGGAACUGAGACACGGCCCAGACUCCUACGGGGGGCAGCAGUGGGGAAUAUUGCACAAUGGGGGAAACCCUGAUGCAGCAACGCCGCGUGAGUGAUGAAGGUUUUCGGAUCGUAAAGCUCUGUCUUUGGGGAAGAUAAUGACGGUACCCAAGGAGGAAGCCACGGCUAACUACGUGCCAGCAGCCGCGGUGAUACGUAGGUGGCGAGCGUUAUCCGGAUUUACUGGGCGUAAAGGGAGCGUAGGCGGAUGAUUAAGUGGGAUGUGAAAUACCCGGGCUCAACUUGGGUGCUGCAUUCCAAACUGGUUAUCUAGAGUGCAGGAGAGGAGAGUGGAAUUCCUAGUGUAGCGGUGAAAUGCGUAGAGAUUAGGAAGAACACCAGUGGCGAAGGCGACUCUCUGGACUGUAACUGACGCUGAGGCUCGAAAGCGUGGGGAGCAAACAGGAUUAGAUACCCUGGUAGUCCACGCCGUAAACGAUGAAUACUAGGUGUGGGGGUUUCAACACCUCCGUGCCGCCGCUAACGCAUUAAGUAUUCCGCCUGGGGAGUACGGUCGCAAGAUUAAAACUCAAAGGAAUUGACGGGGACCCGCACAAGUAGCGGAGCAUGUGGUUUAAUUCGAAGCAACGCGAAGAACCUUACCUACACUUGACAUCCCUUGCAUUACUCUUAAUCGAGGAAAUCCCUUCGGGGACAAGGUGACAGGUGGUGCAUGGUUGUCGUCAGCUCGUGUCGUGAGAUGUUGGGUUAAGUCCCGCAACGAGCGCAACCCUUGUCGUUAGUUACUACCAUUAAGUUGAGGACUCUAGCGAGACUGCCUGGGUUAACCAGGAGGAAGGUGGGGAUGACGUCAAAUCAUCAUGCCCCUUAUGUGUAGGGCUACACACGUGCUACAAUGGCUGGUACAGAGAGAUGCAAUACCGCGAGGUGGAGCCAAACUUAAAAACCAGUCUCAGUUCGGAUUGUAGGCUGAAACUCGCCUACAUGAAGCUGGAGUUACUAGUAAUCGCGAAUCAGAAUGUCGCGGUGAAUACGUUCCCGGGUCUUGUACACACCGCCCGUCACACCAUGAGAGUUGGCAAUACCCGAAGUCCGUGAGCUAACCGCAAGGAGGCAGCGGCCGAAGG